AUUUGAGGACAUUACAGCUUAAAAAUUAUUGAUUGUCAUAACACAAUUGUCAAACAAUUUAUAUUCUCUUUUUUAUAUUCACAGCUCUUGCCGUAAGAAGCGAGAAGGGGGUAGAUGUGGCCAGUAAUAUCCCACCUAUUGAGCAGGCACCUGGAAAGAGGAAACAGGAGUCAGAUAUAACCGAUUCCUCAUCCUCUGAUUCCUCAUCGGAUUCUGAGCCCGAUUCCGAGUCCCCAGAGCCCAAGAAGAAGUUAAAGUCAAAGCCCAAAAAGGCCAAGAAAAUGAGCAAAACACUAAGAGUCAAAACACCUGACGACUCCAUCCGCCGCUACAACAUGGUGUUGGAAAAGAUUUAAAAGGAACACAUCAGCAAAGCCGAAGCAUAUACAAGGCUUGGGGUUGAUCGCAAUACUAUUGUGUUUCAGGCUCCAAUUGCAGAACUUGCAGCAAUUAACCCACAUCUGUUCAAUACAUUGAGGUCUUUUUUUAAAAGAAAGGAUAGUCUGAAAAGGUUUGCUGAAACUUGCAGGGGGUUUUGUGAGCAGGAGCCUACAGCUUCAGCUGUCCUAAAGAAAAAGGAUGAUGGAUCCUUACUGGAUAUUUACAAGAAGUAGUUGUAAAGAUGUUUUACAAGUAGUUUGUUUUAGGGCUGGGUGAUAUAUUGCAUGACAUUGUUAUGCACAUCUCGUCAGUAAAGCCGGUUCCUUGAUUAGUUAAUUAAUUAAUGCGAUAUGGCUCAGCUUGUCAGUGAACUACGGCUCUGUGUAGUAAAUGCCGCUCCAUCUGAAAGCAGGUGAUGGCGAUUUACUACUAAUUAAGGAACCGGCUUUACUGACGAGAUGCGCAUAACAAUGUCAUGCAAUAUAUCGCCCAGUCCUAGAUUGUUUGUACUGCCAUGUGUUUGUGCCAUGUAUUUGUUUAGUUUAGUUUUGUUAAGCGUUAAAUAUUUCAUGAUGUGGAGGAGUCCACAUCAGUAGCUUUAUACAUUAAAAAUUGACUCUUUACCCAAAAAAAAUUCAAGCUGUUUGUGAAUUUUUUUUAAUUUAUAAAAAAAAAACAAAAAAACAGCUUUAUGGUUUUGAAAAGAGUUUUCAG
Molecule: long non-coding RNA, 1095 nt
Filed under: Carassius auratus (goldfish)
Lineage: Eukaryota; Metazoa; Chordata; Actinopteri; Cypriniformes; Cyprinidae
Description: lncRNA (ENSCARG00000008593.1)
Source: RNAcentral